CCAUAGCUGGCUGCCGCCAUGUUGAUUGUGGCGUCCUUCGCUGCUCCGUCCACAGUGUUCCGGCACAGCCAUUCUGUACUAAAGAGCUGGUGCGACGCCUCUGCUACGGGAUUCUGGGAGCAAGCGAAACGAGGCUAAGCAGGAAGGAGGAAAAGAAGGUUAGACUUUGUUUUACUAUCUACUUUCUAUUUUUAUUUCCAGAGAGUUGUUAAUGGGCUUUACCAGCGACGGUAACAGAGCAGUACAACCUAGUAUUUGAAAAGUUUAAUUGCUGGCAUUACCACUGAGUAACAGUGUACCUUAAACAAAUUCCUUUCGUGUGUGUGUGUGUGUGUGUGUGUGUGUGUGCGCGCGCGUGCGCGCUCUGAUUCGCUCACGUGAAAGUAGAAUAAUUAUAUCUACGUUAUAGAGCUUUAGUGAGAAUUAAAGGAGGUAACUCAUUUAAAGAACUUAAAGUAGAACUUGACACAUAAAGUGCAAGUUGAACAAAUAUGCAUCUGUUAUCAUAUGGGCAGGAUCCUUUCUUAAAACGCUGAUUUGCGUGGGAAGAGGUGGUAACACCUCAAAGCGGAGGAUUGAGGGAGGAGUCUGACUCAAACUAGAGAGGCUCCCAGACUCUCUGAACAUUCUGAGCAUGGCUCAUCCCCAUACCUAAAGAGACUCUGUGUGUUAAGAUAGUUAUUAUAUGACUAUAUGGUGUAUUUCUUAGCAUCUAAUUACGAAGGAGUCAAAUUCAUCUUUCAGUGGUCAGCACAAUGCCAAGCACAGUAAACAUGGAAUAACUACUCGGUAACUGGCGGUCAAGGAAAUGAGUAAACAAUUCAUUGAAGAACAAAAUACUCGUAUAUGCAAAAUUAGAUGUGCCAUUGGCACAAACAGCAUUUUGUCUCAUUCUCAUAUAGCUUUUGCAGUGUUUGGCACUGAAGACAACUGUCGGGUCAUGGCACAUGAUGGGAGAACCCCAAAGGGACCGAGUAUGAAGUUUUCAUUAGCUAAGUGGGAUAGGACAUGUGAUCACCUUUAAGCUGAUUUAAAAAAGAGAUUCGCAACUGUUGUAUUCAGUGUUUAAGAAGUAAUGUAUUCCCCUUUUCAACGGUCUUGAUACUUCACUUUAAAUGCACAGGUGCGUGUGUGUGUGUGUGUUCACGCGCACACACACACACUUGCCUAGGUGCAAAUACACAAAUAUAUCACAGUUACAAUAUCCCUUGAUUAAUUGGGGGGGUAAAUGCUAUAUAACAAGCUACCUCAAAACUUAGCAGUUUAAAAUGAUGUACAUUUAACUCAUGAAUCUGUGGUUUGGUCAGAGUUUGGCAGGGAACUCUAUUUUUACUUUAUCUUUUUAAGGCAAUACCCAUGGCAUAUGGAACUUCCUGGGCUAGAGGUUGAAUUGGAGCUGCAGCUGCUAGCCUACACCACAGCCACAGCAAUGCUGGAUCCGAGCUGCGUCUACAACCUACGCCACAGCUUGUGGCAACACCAGAUCCUUAACCCACUGAGCACUGAGUGAGGCCAGGGAUCAUACCCUUUCCUCAUGGAUACUAUGUCGGGUUCUUAACCUGCUGAGCCACAGCGGCUAUGCUGCAAGCUAGGGACCUUAGUUUUUUCCACAUGGGGUCUCUUUAUAGACUGUCGUCAUUCACAGCAAUGGAGGCUGUGUUCCAGGAGUGAGCUUCCUAAGAGGACCAAGUAGAUGCUAAGUUUUAUGGUCUAGUCUCAGAAAACAUGUAAUGUCACUGCUGUUAUAGGCCACUAGAUUCAACAACAUACAGACUGUCCCCAUACUCCCCCUGCCCCCAAGCUCCAGAGGAGGAGUAUCAGUGUCACAUUGUAAGAGGAAUGUGUGGAAUGGGAGAUCUUGUUGUGGCUGUCUUGGAAAGUAGGGUCACCGCUUGGAGAAAUGCUAGUUCAAGUUCUAAGGUCCCAAAGUGACAAGAAUAUUCUGGUAUAUAGGAAAUAUUAUCUGGAAGAGGUAUAUUCAAAUAGAGGAGAUAUUUUUAUUGAGAUUGUGAAAAGAUGGUUUUAACAUGUUAAAUGUGCUAUGAUACUUAGAUUUGAAGGAAGUUCCCCAAAAGAUGAAUAGGGCAAAGGGAAGGGGGCAUUAACUGGCUUAGGUAAUUUAGCAUGAAGAGCUGAGUGUUAACAGUUUAAAAAAUAAAAUUAGGAAUUGUGCAGCAGCUUCAUGUGGGAGAUCUCAGUUCCCAGGCCAGGGGUUGAACCCAGGCUGCAGCAGUGAAAACACUAAAUCCUAACCACUGGACCACCUUUUUAAUUGAAGUAUAGUUGAUGUACAAUAUUAUAUUAGUUUCAGGUAUACUGUAUACUGAUUUAACCUUUUCGUGCAUUAUGAAAUGAUCACUAUGAUCAUUAGUUACUGUCUGUCCUCAUACAAAGUUAUUACAGUAUUAUUGACCACAUUCUUUAUGCUAUAUAUCACAUCUCUGUGACUUAUCUAUUAUGUAUCUGGAGGCUUGUGCCUCUUAAUACCAGAAGGGGAUAUUCUGAACAGUCAAAGGCCUUCAGCUGUAACUCCUUUGAUAUAGCAUAAAGUACGCAUAGCUAAACCUAAUUUUUCUCUGUGACUGAACAAAAUUUUCCAUCAUAACCAGAGUUUCAGAAAAAUCUAACCCACCAAAUAGAAAGUAGACAGGAAAAUCAUAGGAAAAUCUAUAUCUGAAGUAUGUAUCAGCAUUUUUUGUUAGUAAAUAUUUAUUUAACCUCUCACAGGUGAAAUAUAAAUAAUGACUGCAGUUUUCCUUCAAGGCAGAUUAGAGUUCAGCUUUGAAUAGUAUUCAACAAAUCAAAUGCCAGCAGCUUUGACCACUCUGCCAGAGGAGAGGCAUUUAAAUGGUUUUUAAAAAUUAUCUAUUUUAGGACUUUGCAUGGAAACCCAGCAAAAUCAGUUUGCUAAAAUAUAUAUCAGCUGGCCUGAGUGACUCUUCAUAGUAUCUGCCUGCAUCUGCUUUAUUCACAACUGAACUGCUAUUGAUUUGUGUAAUGAAGUAAUAUCAUGCAGGUGAUAGUUUUCCCCAAAGCCAUACCCUUUCUGUCUAGGAUUUGGGGUGGAAAACAGAGACCAAUAACAAUACAUUUUCUUCUUCAAAAUAUAUUUGUUACUUUCAAUUUCCUUCCUCCUACCCAAAGAAGACUGUCAAAGACAAGUUAUGAUUCAACAUGGCAUUUUUUUCUCCUUAUGAAAUGUUACCUGGCAGAUAGAAUCUUCCCUGGCAAAGGAGAGGAUAAUCAUGGUUGAAGUAUAGCUGAUAUACAAUCUUAUGCUUGUUUCUUCCUUACUAGCAUCUGAAAAGUACUCCAUCAUUCUUUUCCCACAAUUACAUUCUAACUGAUCCCUUAGGCUCCCAUAAUUUCCUCUUGUUUG
Molecule: long non-coding RNA, 3379 nt
Filed under: Sus scrofa (pig)
Lineage: Eukaryota; Metazoa; Chordata; Mammalia; Artiodactyla; Suidae
Description: lncRNA (ENSSSCG00000063276.1)
Source: RNAcentral